GUUGAACGCUGGCGGCGUGCCUAAUACAUGCAAGUCGAGCGAACAGACGAGGAGCUUGCUCCUCUGACGUUAGCGGCGGACGGGUGAGUAACACGUGGAUAACCUACCUAUAAGACUGGGAUAAUUUCGGGAAACCGGAGCUAAUACCGGAUAAUAUAUUGAACCGCAUGGUUGAAUAGUGAAAGACGGUGUUGCUGUCACUUAUAGAUGGAUCCGCGCCGCAUUAGCUAGUUGGUAAGGUAACGGCUUACCAAGGCAACGAUGCGUAGCCGAACUGGGAGGGUGAUCGGCCACACUGGAACUGAGACACCGUCCAGACUACUGCGGGAGGCAGCAGUAGGGAAUCUUCCGCAAUGGGCGAAAGCUUGACGGAGCGACGCCGCGUGAGUGAUGAAGGUCUUCGGAUCGUAAAACUCUGUUAUUAGGGAAGAACAACUGUGUAAGUAACUAUGCACGUCUUGACGGUACCUAAUCAGAAAGCCCCGGCUAACUACGUG
This 497-nucleotide ribosomal RNA is filed under the name uncultured bacterium. RNAcentral's name for it is "partial 16S ribosomal RNA". It matches the Rfam family "Bacterial small subunit ribosomal RNA", at positions 28 to 507 of the family's 1533-position model. The record is from RNAcentral.